This 336-nucleotide ribosomal RNA is filed under the name Philantomba monticola (Blue duiker). Its description in RNAcentral is "partial small subunit ribosomal RNA". Lineage: Eukaryota; Metazoa; Chordata; Mammalia; Artiodactyla; Bovidae. The record is from RNAcentral.
UCAGCCCUAAACACAAAUAAUUUUAAAAACAAAAUUAUUCGCCAGAGUACUACCGGCAACAGCCUAAAACUCAAAGGACUUGGCGGUGCUUUAUACCCUUCUAGAGGAGCCUGUUCUAUAAUCGAUAAACCCCGAUAAACCUCACCAAUUCUUGCUAAUACAGUCUAUAUACCGCCAUCUUCAGCAAACCCUAAAAAGGAACAAAAGUAAGCGCAAUCAUAACAUAUAAAAACGUUAGGUCAAGGUGUAACCUAUGAAAUGGGAAGAAAUGGGCUACAUUUUCUACUUCAAGAAAACCUACAUACGAAAGUUAUUAUNAAACUAAUAACCAAAGGA